UUACCCGCUGAAUUUAAGCAUAA
Molecule: ribosomal RNA, 23 nt
Filed under: Pulsatilla cernua var. koreana
Lineage: Eukaryota; Viridiplantae; Streptophyta; Magnoliopsida; Ranunculales; Ranunculaceae
Also listed under: 2 other names
Description: Anemone cernua var. koreana partial 26S ribosomal RNA
Source: RNAcentral